Long non-coding RNA from Apis mellifera (honey bee), 457 nucleotides. RefSeq lists it as uncharacterized. The record is from RefSeq and is a predicted model, not a curated record. NCBI's taxonomy places the organism in Eukaryota, Metazoa, Arthropoda, Insecta, Hymenoptera, Apidae. The transcript has 3 exons.
AAAAAGUUUUUUUUUUUAAAAUGAAAAAGGGUAAAAAAUGUAAAACUCACAAUUUGGUAAUUCCAGGAAUAUGAAAUUGAGUAUGAAAAGUUUCAGCGCUUCCCGUUGAUAAACAAUAGAGAGUAAAGUGAUUAGAAACAUUCUUUAGCUGAGAUCUUGUUAAACUUGUUGAAUGGAUGAAUGAAAAUUCUCCUGGGUUUUCACGUUAUGAAAUUAACUUUAGACUUCUCCAAAUUAUAUCGAGCUUCUUGAGAUUUCAUAGUUUCUCACUCGAGGAAUUCACGCAUUAGUAUGUUAACAUAACUGGUGAUAAAAUAUAUUCAAAAUGUAUCGCGACAUGAUCUUAAAGUUAUUCUUGAUGAAAUGAAGUCCAGAUUUCAAAGUUAAAAGUUUCACAAUUAUGAAGUUCUACAUAUAUAUUUAUAUAUACAAUACGUGUAUUUCUUAUAAAUAAUAU